AGUGAACGCUGGCGGUAGGCCUAACACAUGCAAGUCGAACGGCAGCACAGUAAGAGCUUGCUCUUACGGGUGGCGAGUGGCGGACGGGUGAGGAAUACAUCGGAAUCUACUUUUUCGUGGGGGAUAACGUAGGGAAACUUACGCUAAUACCGCAUACGACCUACGGGUGAAAGCAGGGGAUCUUCGGACCUUGCGCGAUUGAAUGAGCCGAUUUCGGAUUAGCUAGUUGGCUGGGGAAAGGCCCACCAAGGCGACGAUCCGUAACUGGUCUGAGAGGAUGUAAAGGCACACUGGAACUGAGACACGGUACAGACUCCUACGGGAGGCAGCAGUGGGGAAUAUUGGACAAUGGGCGCAAGCCUGAUCCAGCAAUACCGCGUGGGUGAAGAAGGCCUUCGGGUUGUAAAGCCCUUUUGUUGGGAAAGAAAAGCAGCAGGUUAAUACCCCGCUGUUCUGACGGUACCAAAAGAAUAAGCACCGGCUAACUUCGUG
RNAcentral lists this ribosomal RNA (492 nucleotides) under uncultured bacterium. RNAcentral's name for it is "partial 16S ribosomal RNA". It matches the Rfam family "Bacterial small subunit ribosomal RNA", at positions 29 to 507 of the family's 1533-position model. The record is from RNAcentral.